Molecule: long non-coding RNA, 1325 nt
Filed under: Nicotiana tabacum (common tobacco)
Lineage: Eukaryota; Viridiplantae; Streptophyta; Magnoliopsida; Solanales; Solanaceae
Description: long non-coding RNA (NTAB_LNC002934)
Source: RNAcentral
AAAUUCACGGAAUUACAUAAAUAAUCAAGUAACAAUCACAUCAAAUUGUCAUAUAAUAACAGAUUCAACAACAACAAGGAUUUAGGCACGAUAAAUAGAUGAUUAAAUAUAUACCAACAAUUAUCCAAUUUACCACACAAUAUGCUCAAGACUUUAACUCAAUAAAAUUUAUACAUAGAAUCCGAGUACGUACUCGUCACCUAGCGUACACGGCUUUUUACAUUUCAUAAAUGGCACAUAAGACUCGAUGCCUAAGGGGUAAUUCCCCCACUCGAGGUUAAGCAAGACACUUACCUUUUUGAAGUUAUGCCGAUAUUCCAAAAUUGCCUUCUUGCUUGAAUUGACCUCCAGACCGCUCAAAUCUAUCCAAAUUCAUUGCAUAACUUCAUUAAAAUUCAUCGAAAAUAAUUCCGGAUAAUAAUACGUCGACUUAAAAUUUUAUUCCAAAAAGUCAACAAAAGUCGAUGCGGGACCCGCCUCUCAGAACCCGACAUAAUUUUACGAAAUCCGAACACCCAUUCCGAUACGAGUUCAACCAUACUAAUUUUAUCGAAUUCCAAUAACAACUCUGACCUUCAAAUCUUAAAUUUUUAUUUUUAGAAGAUUUUGCAAAAAUCUUGAUUUUCUCCAUUUAAAUUCGAAUUAAAUGAUGAAUAAUCAUGGAUUCAUGAAAUAUAAACACUUUAGGAUAUAGAACACUUACCCAAGUCAAAGUCGUGAAGAACUCCUCCAAAAUCGCCCAAAAAUCGAGUUCCAAAAUCUCAAUCGAAAAUGACAAAGUGACUGAUUUUUGGUCCUUAUGUUACUGCCCAGUUUCGUACCUGCGGUACUGUUCACACUCCUGCGAAAAAAAUAGCAGCUACCCAGAAAUUCCAGCAGCUUUUCUUCAAGUCCGAAUUGAUCCGUUAACCUUCCGAAAUCCACCCGAAGCCCUCGGAACCUAAACCAAAUAUACCAACACGUCCCAAAGUACAAUACAAACUUAGUCGAGGCUUCAAACCACGUCAAAUAACGCCGAAAUUACGAAUCGCGGAUCGAAUCGAAUUAUAAGUUUUCAAAUCUUUCAACUUCUAUAUUUUGCGCCGAAACGUAUCAAAUCAAUCCGGAAUGACUUCAAAUUUUACACACAAGUCAUAAUUAACUUAAUGGAGCUAUUCCCAUUUCCGGAAUCGAAAUCCGACCUCGUUAUAAAAAAUUCACCAUUCGGUCGGACUUUUUCAAAAUCUUAUAUUUUUCAAUUUUCGCCAAAAUGUGUCGAAUUGUCCUACGGACUUCCAAAUCCAAAUUUGAACAUACGCCUAAGUCCGAAAUCAUCAUACGAAACU